RNAcentral lists this ribosomal RNA (379 nucleotides) under Bacillus toyonensis. Its description in RNAcentral is "bacterial SSU rRNA". It matches the Rfam family "Bacterial small subunit ribosomal RNA", at positions 1156 to 1533 of the family's 1533-position model. Lineage: Bacteria; Bacillati; Bacillota; Bacilli; Caryophanales; Bacillaceae. The record is from RNAcentral.
UGACAAACCGGAGGAAGGUGGGGAUGACGUCAAAUCAUCAUGCCCCUUAUGACCUGGGCUACACACGUGCUACAAUGGACGGUACAAAGAGCUGCAAGACCGCGAGGUGGAGCUAAUCUCAUAAAACCGUUCUCAGUUCGGAUUGUAGGCUGCAACUCGCCUACAUGAAGCUGGAAUCGCUAGUAAUCGCGGAUCAGCAUGCCGCGGUGAAUACGUUCCCGGGCCUUGUACACACCGCCCGUCACACCACGAGAGUUUGUAACACCCGAAGUCGGUGGGGUAACCUUUUUGGAGCCAGCCGCCUAAGGUGGGACAGAUGAUUGGGGUGAAGUCGUAACAAGGUAGCCGUAUCGGAAGGUGCGGCUGGAUCACCUCCUUU